UGGUUAUUGCUUGAUGAAGUUCAUGAAGGACAUUAUCACUCAUGCCCCUACCACAUUAUCUAACAAGUACUUCGAGGACGUCUAUUGCGUUCAUUAUACGACUGCACAUGUAGAAGAGGUCCUUGAAGAGGUGGCCCAAUGUGUUUUCAAUAUGUGGGUAGCAACAAUAGUUAGGCCGGUACAAUAGUCAGUUACAUUUAUAUACACAUUUUUGGGCCAAUUUUUAUGGGAUAGGCCACUUAAUUUUGAAACAUUAGUUUGCAAAUAAGUUUAGAUUUUAAGGUUAAAUGUAUAGGAAUUUUUAUGUUAAUUAGAUAAGAAAUACUAUUACAAACAUU
This is a long non-coding RNA of Prosopis cineraria, 338 nucleotides long. RefSeq lists it as uncharacterized. The transcript has 2 exons. The record is from RefSeq and is a predicted model, not a curated record. NCBI's taxonomy places the organism in Eukaryota, Viridiplantae, Streptophyta, Magnoliopsida, Fabales, Fabaceae.